RNAcentral lists this ribosomal RNA (1122 nucleotides) under Bacillus sp. (in: firmicutes). RNAcentral's name for it is "bacterial SSU rRNA". It matches the Rfam family "Bacterial small subunit ribosomal RNA", at positions 62 to 1166 of the family's 1533-position model. Lineage: Bacteria; Bacillati; Bacillota; Bacilli; Caryophanales; Bacillaceae. The record is from RNAcentral.
UCGAGCGGACCGACGGGAGCUUGCUCCCUUAGGUCAGCGGCGGACGGGUGAGUAACACGUGGGUAACCUGCCUGUAAGACUGGGAUAACUCCGGGAAACCGGGGCUAAUACCGGAUGCUUGAUUGAACCGCAUGGUUCAAUCAUAAAAGGUGGCUUUCAGCUACCACUUGCAGAUGGACCCGCGGCGCAUUAGCUAGUUGGUGAGGUAACGGCUCACCAAGGCGACGAUGCGUAGCCGACCUGAGAGGGUGAUCGGCCACACUGGGACUGAGACACGGCCCAGACUCCUACGGGAGGCAGCAGUAGGGAAUCUUCCGCAAUGGACGAAAGUCUGACGGAGCAACGCCGCGUGAGUGAUGAAGGUUUUCGGAUCGUAAAACUCUGUUGUUAGGGAAGAACAAGUACCGUUCGAAUAGGGCGGYACCUUGACGGUACCUAACCAGAAAGCCACGGCUAACUACGUGCCAGCAGCCGCGGUAAUACGUAGGUGGCAAGCGUUGUCCGGAAUUAUUGGGCGUAAAGCGCGCGCAGGCGGUUUCUUAAGUCUGAUGUGAAAGCCCCCGGCUCAACCGGGGAGGGUCAUUGGAAACUGGGGAACUUGAGUGCAGAAGAGGAGAGUGGAAUUCCACGUGUAGCGGUGAAAUGCGUAGAGAUGUGGAGGAACACCAGUGGCGAAGGCGACUCUCUGGUCUGUAACUGACGCUGAGGCGCGAAAGCGUGGGGAGCGAACAGGAUUAGAUACCCUGGUAGUCCACGCCGUAAACGAUGAGUGCUAAGUGUUAGAGGGUUUCCGCCCUUUAGUGCUGCAGCAAACGCAUUAAGCACUCCGCCUGGGGAGUACGGUCGCAAGACUGAAACUCAAAGGAAUUGACGGGGGCCCGCACAAGCGGUGGAGCAUGUGGUUUAAUUCGAAGCAACGCGAAGAACCUUACCAGGUCUUGACAUCCUCUGACAACCCUAGAGAUAGGGCUUCCCCUUCGGGGGCAGAGUGACAGGUGGUGCAUGGUUGUCGUCAGCUCGUGUCGUGAGAUGUUGGGUUAAGUCCCGCAACGAGCGCAACCCUUGAUCUUAGUUGCCAGCAUUCAGUUGGGCACUCUAAGGUGACUGCCGGUGACAAACCGG